This 727-nucleotide long non-coding RNA is filed under the name Homo sapiens (human). Its description in RNAcentral is "HSALNT0297724". The record is from RNAcentral. Lineage: Eukaryota; Metazoa; Chordata; Mammalia; Primates; Hominidae.
AGCAGAUAGAGUUUAUUACAAAUACCACAGUAGACUUUUUGGCUAUUUUCAAGCGGAAUAAGACAGCCUGAGGCCAGCCAGUGGGACUUUCAGCUGCAAGGGGCCUUCCCCAUCUCCUUCCCCUUCAAGGUGGGCUGUCUCCCACAGUAAACCGCACAGGGGGUGUUCAUCCCUGGAUCACUAUACAGGUUCCUUGUCAUCAAGCUGAGAACAUUACUUCAUGAUUCUUAUUAAUCCAGGCUAGAAAGACGUCGAGCUCUCCCAGGGAUUUAAUGGCAGCAGCGUGGACCUCCAGCUGAAAUCAGAGAUCAAUAGUCUCUCCACAAAGAAGCAGAGCCCAUAACAGACUCCCUAACUCUUGCUCUUCAAAGCAUUGGUAUCAUUUGACAGUGUGAUCUAAAUGCAGAAACUCAGGCUCAUCCCAGCCCUGCUGAGCCAGAAUCUGCAUUUUAACAAGAUCUUGAACUGAUGCUCAUGAGAAACACUGCUUCUUCCUCUACCUCCACGUGAGAUGUGCAUUUUACACCAACAUCAACAUGAGAAGUACCAUGUCUUCAUCACUACACACAAUAUGGGGGGGCAGGUAGUGAUCGCAGUGACGGCGUGCAGACACAGAGAAUUGAGGCCUGCCCACAAUGGCUGCUUAUAGAGUGAAUGCAUGAAUUUAAGUGGAGAGGAGGCUGAAGGCCUGGCACCCUCCUGAUCUACCUCUCAUCUUCCAUCUUCC